GUGAACGCUGGCGGUAGGCCUAACACAUGCAAGUCGCACGGCAGCACAGUAAGAGCUUGCUCUUACGGGUGGCGAGUGGCGGACGGGUGAGGAAUACAUCGGAAUCUACUUUUUCGUGGGGGAUAACGUAGGGAAACUUACGCUAAUACCGCAUACGACCUACGGGUGAAAGCAGGGGAUCUUCGGACCUUGCGCGAUUGAAUGAGCCGAUGUCGGAUUAGCUAGUUGGCGGGGUAAAGGCCCACCAAGGCGACGAUCCGUAGCUGGUCUGAGAGGAUGAUCAGCCACACUGGAACUGAGACACGGUCCAGACGCCUACGGGAGGCAGCAGUGGGGAAUAUUGGACAAUGGGCGCAAGCCUGAUCCAGCCAUACCGCGUGGGUGAAGAAGGCCUUCGGGUUGUAAAGCCCUUUUGUUGGGAAAGAAAAGCAGCAGGUUAAUACCCCGCUGUUCUGACGGUACCCAAAGAAUAAGCACCGGCUAACUUCGU
RNAcentral lists this ribosomal RNA (490 nucleotides) under uncultured bacterium. RNAcentral's name for it is "partial 16S ribosomal RNA". It matches the Rfam family "Bacterial small subunit ribosomal RNA", at positions 29 to 506 of the family's 1533-position model. The record is from RNAcentral.